AGGGAAUUUUCCGCAAUGGGCGAAAGCCUGACGCAGCGACGCCGCGUGAGCGAUGAAGGCCUUCGGGUUGUAAAGCUCUGUCCUUGGGGAAGAAGGUCUUCGGACUUGACGGUACCCAAGAAGAAAGCCCCGGCUAACUACGUGCCAGCAGCCGCGGUAAUACGUAGGGGGCGAGCGUUGUCCGGAAUUACUGGGCGUAAAGGGUGCGUAGGCGGCCCUUUAAGUCAGAUGUGAAAGCCCGCAGCUUAACUGCGGAAUUGCAUUUGAAACUGGAGGGCUUGAGUGUCGGAGAGGGUAGUGGAAUUCCCAGUGUAGCGGUGAAAUGCGUAGAUAUUGGGAGGAACACCAGUGGCGAAGGCGACUGCCUGGACGAUAACUGACGCUGAGGCACGAAAGCUAGGGGAGCAAAC
This 410-nucleotide ribosomal RNA is filed under the name uncultured bacterium. RNAcentral describes it as "bacterial SSU rRNA". It matches the Rfam family "Bacterial small subunit ribosomal RNA", at positions 356 to 773 of the family's 1533-position model. The record is from RNAcentral.